RNAcentral lists this ribosomal RNA (490 nucleotides) under uncultured bacterium. RNAcentral's name for it is "partial 16S ribosomal RNA". It matches the Rfam family "Bacterial small subunit ribosomal RNA", at positions 30 to 507 of the family's 1533-position model. The record is from RNAcentral.
AUUGAACGCUGGCGGCAGGCCUAACACAUGCAAGUCGAACGGUAACAGGAAGCAGCUUGCUGCUUCGCUGACGAGUGGCGGACGGGUGAGUAAUGUCUGGGAAACUGCCUGAUGGAGGGGGAUAACUACUGGAAACGGUAGCUAAUACCGCAUAACGUCGCAAGACCAAAGAGGGGGAACUUAGGGCCUCUUGCCAUCGGAUGUGCCCAGAUGGGAGUAGCUAGUAGGUGGGGUAACGGCUCACCUAGGCGACGAUCCCUAGCUGGUCUGAGAGGAUGACCGGCCACACGGGAACUGAGACACGGUCCAGACUCCUACGGGAGGCAGCAGUGGGGAAUAGUGCACAAUGGGCGCAAGCCUGAUGCAGCCAUGCCGCGUGUAUGAAGAAGGCCUUCGGGUUGUAAAGUACUUUCAGCGGGGAGGAAGGGAGUAAAGUUCAUACCUUUGCUCAUUGACGUUACCCGCAGAAGAAGCACCGGCUAACUCCGUG